GAGAAUGUAAAGGAUUAAAAGUGGCCACAAGUUAUUUGACACUUAUCCCUCAGGACCUGAGGUGCUUCCCUUGCAACUAUACAGCCUGAUUGCUUUAUCCAAUAAUGCAUUAACAUUACACUACUGGAUAAAUUGGGAAUCUAGGGGCCUUAGAUACUUGCACUUCCUGGUUGUUGGCACAUUGGCUAGAGAGAGCCAGCCCCCAAGAAAAGUAUGCGUAUCCCAAGACUGUCCUGCCCAGAAGAAACCCUGGAAGUCACAGGAAGAGGAGAUGCCUGACCAGCACCCAGCUUUCAGAUAACUCAAAACUCUGCUAACUUGACUUCAACUGCUAAGACAUCCCAGGGGUCGGCUGCUCAGGGACCCACAGAAUAAAAUAAUUGUUUUGGUUUUUAAAUUUUUUUAAAUUUGUUUUGAAGCCACACAUACCAAUUCUCAGGGCUUAUUCCUGGCACUGUGCUAAGGAUUACUUCUGGUGGGGCUUAGGGGAUCACAUAGGGUGCUAGGGAUAAAACCUAGGUCAGCCACAUAAAAAGCAAGUGCCCUUCCCACUUCAGCUCCAUGAAGUAAUUAUUUUAAGCCAGUGCAUUUUGAGAUAUUCAUGCAACAACAAAAAACUACACUAAGAACAAGCCUGAUUUAUAGGGAUGUAGACUGGGCCCACAACUUGCCAGGUUCUAAAGCUUUUAGGGAGCCUGAACUGUCCCUAGGUAGCCUGGAUUUAUAUUCUGUAAUUCUAGGAGAACUGAA
This is a long non-coding RNA of Suncus etruscus (white-toothed pygmy shrew), 750 nucleotides long. RefSeq lists it as uncharacterized. The transcript is spliced from 2 exons. Lineage: Eukaryota; Metazoa; Chordata; Mammalia; Eulipotyphla; Soricidae. The record is from RefSeq and is a predicted model, not a curated record.